Non-coding RNA from Esox lucius (northern pike), 71 nucleotides. NCBI's taxonomy places the organism in Eukaryota, Metazoa, Chordata, Actinopteri, Esociformes, Esocidae. The record is from Ensembl.
CAGAGUGUAGCUAAAUAGAAAAGCACCUCCCUUACACUGAGAAGACACCUGUGCAAAUCAGGUCACCCUGA